Molecule: small RNA, 126 nt
Filed under: Salmonella enterica
Lineage: Bacteria; Pseudomonadati; Pseudomonadota; Gammaproteobacteria; Enterobacterales; Enterobacteriaceae
Also listed under: 1 other name
Description: partial RtT sRNA
Rfam family: RtT RNA (bases 18-122)
About the family: This family represents a bacterial cis-regulatory element known as RtT RNA. The exact function of RtT is unknown although it is thought that it may be involved in changing the cellular response in relation to amino acid starvation.
Source: RNAcentral
UGUAUCUGAAGCCUGACGAGGAUGAGAACCUCCGGGGGCAAGAGGUUCGACCCGAGCGAAGCGAGAGAACGUUGCGUCAGCAACGGCCCGCAGGGCGAGCCACGCAGUGGCGAGUCAUCCUCUAUC